Molecule: unclassified non-coding RNA, 572 nt
Filed under: Hevea brasiliensis (rubber tree)
Lineage: Eukaryota; Viridiplantae; Streptophyta; Magnoliopsida; Malpighiales; Euphorbiaceae
Source: RNAcentral
GUCAUAAUCUUAUAAUUUUUGUGGCAUACAAAAGCAUAGCUGUUCUAGCAUCUAAGAUGAUAUCGUCUUUCUUCAUAAAUUAUUUUUUUGACUAAUGAUGAUUUGUUAUAGAGGUUGCGUAUUAGUUUAGGUUUAGGGUGUUUAAGGCUUUGGAAAUACUAGUUAUAUAUUUUAUAGGCAAGUUAAUGAAAUUAGAAGAAUGCUAGUUGCCUUCACCUUUUUACAAUCUAUGUAUACUUUUGGCAUAUUGCACUUCUUUUAUGCAAAAGCAAGACAACUGACUUAGUAGGUUAGCUGUUUCACUUUGCCUUCUUGGCCUCUCUCCCCUAUUCUCUUGCUCUCCCCCCUUACCAAACAUCUUUUGCUCCAUGAACUACACUCUCCAAUCAAAACUUCAUUGCUGAUGUGAACCCGAUUGAAGGAUGAAGAUUGGUUUACUUACAUGUCGCCAACAUUGAAUUGCCAAAAGCAAAGAUGUGAUUUUACACCCAUUUCUUACUGCUCUUUAUCAAUAGUGGCUAAACCAUUCCCAAAACUGAUUGAUUCUUUUCUUGCCACCACAGCUCAUGUAU